CAGCGAUAAAGAAACAUCGUCACUGUUCUGUGAAUGUGUGAGAUGUAGGUGGUAUUGGCAUAGCUGUGGGUGGUGUGACGUGGAAAGGAGGUGGGAGGAGCAAUGGGGGGCAGCUAGAAACGAGUUUCAUGCAUAAUAAGUAAGACUUUGACGGUCCUGGUAAUUGUUGCUUUUUUGUGUUUAACUGUUUUUUAUUUUUUCUUUAAAUAGGCUGACUCUGUGCUUAAGAAUCUAAAUUGCUGCUCAUAUGGCAAUGCUGCAUACUUCAGAGAAGAGAACUUUUGUACUGAUAGCAAGGACAUGGUCAAACAAAGCGCCACACUUGGUCAUUACAAGCCACAGGAUCUUCUGUUCGCAGUACAAAUUACUCUUUAUCGAGUCCUUUAUAGAGAUCUGCACAUCUCGUCUGACUGCAUGCGUGGCAGCUGUGCUAGCUGGGCACUUUAUUGUGGAAUGAGACGACAGCAGGAAGAAAAAUAUUGGAACAACAGCCUCCCUUGAGGUCCUUUGCUCUCGCUGCUGCAGCAGUGAGACCACGCAGAUAGUAA
RNAcentral lists this long non-coding RNA (548 nucleotides) under Apteryx owenii (little spotted kiwi). RNAcentral's name for it is "lncRNA (ENSAOWG00000009142.1)". The record is from RNAcentral. Lineage: Eukaryota; Metazoa; Chordata; Aves; Apterygiformes; Apterygidae.